UCCCUGGUGGUCCAGUGGUUAAGAUUCUGCCUUCCAAUGCAGGGGCCUCAGGUUCCAUUCCUGGUCAGGGCA
This 72-nucleotide transfer RNA is filed under the name Bos taurus (domestic cattle). It matches the Rfam family "tRNA". Rfam says of the family: Transfer RNA (tRNA) molecules are approximately 80 nucleotides in length. The record is from Rfam by way of RNAcentral. RNAcentral also lists the same sequence under 2 other names. Lineage: Eukaryota; Metazoa; Chordata; Mammalia; Artiodactyla; Bovidae.